Mytilus californianus (California mussel) is the source of this 1184-nucleotide long non-coding RNA. RefSeq lists it as uncharacterized. The transcript is spliced from 2 exons. NCBI's taxonomy places the organism in Eukaryota, Metazoa, Mollusca, Bivalvia, Mytilida, Mytilidae. The record is from RefSeq and is a predicted model, not a curated record.
GAAGGCUGGGAUUGAUUUUGGGGGUAUUUGCCUCCAAAUUUUAGGAAUAAGGGGCCAAAAAGGGGCAAAAAACAAGCAUUUUUCUAGUUUCAGGACAAUAACUUGUGUGUAAGUGUAUGGAUCUUUAUGAAAUUGUACUACAAGGUUCCAUAUCACAAAGGGAAAGCUGGGUUUGUGUUUGGGGGUAAUUGCCCUAAAUGUUUAGGAAUUUGGGGCCAAAAAGGGGCAAAAAAAACCAAGCAUUUUUCUAGUUUCCAGACAAUAACUUGUGUAUAAGUGUAUGGAUCUCUCUGAAAUUGUACUGCAAGGUACCAUACCACAAAGGGAAGGCUGGGAUUGAGUUUUGGGUGAUGAAUCAUAAGGGGGUUCCAAAAAAUGGGGGGGGGAUUUUUUUUUCCAUUUUUUCCUUUUUUUUUCUUUAAAAUUUUCCAUUUUAAAUUGGUUAUUUCUGAUUUAUAUAUAAAAGCAAAUAAUAAUGAUAUGGUUUGAAUAGGUAAAUUAAAAUUUUUUAAGUUCUUAGACCACAUUCAUUCUGUGUCAGAAACCUGUGCUGUGUCAAAUAUUUAAUCACAAUCCAAAUUCAGUGUUGUAUCAAGCUUGAAUGUUGUGUCCAUACUUGCCCCAACUAUUCAGGGUUUGACCUCUGCGGUCGUAUCAAGCUGCGCCCAGCGGAGCAUUUUAUUCAUUUAAUCAGAUAUUAUAAGCAUAUGUCUACUUGUUGGUGUAUGGCAUGACUGCAAGGUGUCAUAUAAAAAUAAGAAGAUGUCUGUCUGCCAAGUUUAAUAUUACUGUGACCUCAUUUUCAUAGAAUAUUGAUAAUAUCAAGCAAAAAUGAUGAGCAAGACAAGAUACAAAUGAUCCAAAAUUGUCAGUUGCCUACUCAUUAUGUAAUAGUAGUUAUUGUCAUUAAAUGAUAAUGUUUACCCUUUUAUGUGUAGGGCAAGAACAUUAAAGAUAAAUGGAAACUAUAAACAAAAGAAACUAUCAACAAAAAUAGAUUUACAGACGUCAACAAAGCCUAAAUGGUCAGACAUCUUGGUUUUCAUGAUCAUCAUUCAACAGGUCAAUACUGAACAGCAAACUUAAAGUUGAUAUUUUUCUACAUAGUGUGACUUUUUUAUUAAUUUGAAAUGGAAUGUGUUUUUUUUUCCUACAUAAGAAAGAGGAAAUUUCAACAUAAUGAC